Molecule: ribosomal RNA, 470 nt
Filed under: Microschatia rockefelleri
Lineage: Eukaryota; Metazoa; Arthropoda; Insecta; Coleoptera; Tenebrionidae
Description: eukaryotic LSU rRNA
Source: RNAcentral
AGAGUACGUGAAACCGUUCAGGGGUAAACCUGAGAAACCCGAAAGGUCGAAAGGGGAGAUUCAGCGUGUCUCGAUUGCGGCGCUGGACGGUCGUGCGACGGAAGACGUACGCGUCAUCCGCACCUUCCGUGCUCCGAACCGUAUUCGAACGCGUGCACUUCUCCCCCUGUAGGACGUCGCGAUCCGUUGGGUGCCGGUCUAAGGCCCGCAAUGGAGCCCGUUCGGACGGUUUACCGUUCCGGACGAACUUGCGGUGUUUCCCGGUCGGCUCGCUCGACGGUAUACAGAUGGCGCGGGGCCGCUACAUUAGUUAGCGUCCGACCGGCGGCAAGCGCGCUCGUCGUGACGGUGAUCGGACCUGGUGCCGGUCCUGUCCCCGAGUGGCUGUUCGCUGCCGUGUUCUCGGACAGACCUCGUCGAAACGCCGAUCUGCGACGCUAUAGCUUUGGGUACUUUCAGGACCCGUCUUG